CCUACGGGGGGCUGCAGUAGGGAAUUUUCGUCAAUGGGCGCAAGCCUGAACGAGCGAUGCCGCGUGAGUGAAGAAGGCCUUCGGGUCGUAAAGCCCUGUUGCGGGGGAAAAAAGGCAGCAUCAGGAAAUGGGUGCUGACUGAUGGUGCCCCGCCAGAAAGUCACGGCUAACUACGUGCCAGCAGCUGCGGUAAUACGUAGGUGGCGGGCGUUAUCCGGAAUGAUUGGGCGUAAAGGGUGCGCAGGCGGUCCUGCAAGUCUGGAGUGAAACGCAUGAGCUCAAACCAUGCAGGGCUUUGGAAACUGGAGGAGGGGAGUGGGAGAGAGGGAGGAGGAACGCGGGGGGUAGGGGUAAAAUGCGUAGAUAUAGGGAAGAAC
Molecule: ribosomal RNA, 377 nt
Filed under: uncultured bacterium
Lineage: Bacteria
Description: partial 16S ribosomal RNA
Rfam family: Bacterial small subunit ribosomal RNA
Source: RNAcentral